This 68-nucleotide transfer RNA is filed under the name Cephalcia infumata. RNAcentral describes it as "tRNA-Ile". The record is from RNAcentral. Lineage: Eukaryota; Metazoa; Arthropoda; Insecta; Hymenoptera; Pamphiliidae.
UAUAAAGUGCCUGAUUAAAGGGUUAUUAUGAUAUAAUAAAUUAAGUAUUUUUAUUUAUACCUUUAUAU